CUGUAAACCUCUUUUAUCAAGGAAGAAGAUCUGACGGUACUUGAUGAAUAAGCCACGGCUAAUUCCGUGCCAGCAGCCGCGGUAAUACGGGAGUGGCAAGCGUUAUCCGGAAUUAUUGGGCGUAAAGCGUCCGCAGGCGGCCCUUCAAGUCUGCUGUUAAAAAGUGGAGCUUAACUCCAUCAUGGCAGUGGAAACUGAGGGGCUUGAGUGUGGUAGGGGCAGAGGGAAUUCCCGGUGUAGCGGUGAAAUGCGUAGAUAUCGGGAAGAACACCAGUGGCGAAGGCGCUCUGCUGGGCCAUCACUGACGCUCAUGGACGAAAGCCAGGGGAGCGAAAGGGAUUAGAUACCCCUGUAGUCCUGGCCGUAAACGAUGAACACUAGGUGUCGGGGGAAUCGACCCCCUCGGUGUCGUAGCCAACGCGUUAAGUGUUCCGCCUGGGGAGUACGCACGCAAGUGUGAAACUCAAAGGAAUUGACGGGGGCCCGCACAAGCGGUGGAGUAUGUGGUUUAAUUCGAUGCAACGCGAAGAACCUUACCAGGGUUUGACAUCCUGCGAAUCUCUUGGAAACGAGAGAGUGCCUUCGGGAGCGCAGUGACAGGUGGUGCAUGGCUGUCGUCAGCUCGUGUCGUGAGAUGUUGGGUUAAGUCCCGCAACGAGCGCAACCCACGUCUUUAGUUGCCAGCAUUUAGUUGGGCACUCUAGAGAGACCGCCGGUGAUAAACCGGAGGAAGGUGUGGAUGACGUCAAGUCAUCAUGCCCCUUACAUCCUGGGCUACACACGUACUACAAUGCUACGGACAAAGGGCAGCAAGUUCGCGAGGACAAGCAAAUCCCAUAAACCGUGGCUCAGUUCAGAUCGUAGGCUGCAACUCGCCUACGUGAAGGAGGAAUCGCUAGUAAUCGCAGGUCAGCAUACUGCGGUGAAUACGUUCCCGGGCCUUGUACACACCGCCCGUCACACCAUGGAAGUUGGCCACGCCCGAAGCCGUUACUCCAACCCUUGUGGAGGAGGACGUCGAAGGUGGGGCUGAUGACUGGGGUGAAGUCGUAACAAGGUA
RNAcentral lists this ribosomal RNA (1060 nucleotides) under uncultured bacterium. Its description in RNAcentral is "bacterial SSU rRNA". It matches the Rfam family "Bacterial small subunit ribosomal RNA", at positions 423 to 1498 of the family's 1533-position model. The record is from RNAcentral.